This 143-nucleotide unclassified non-coding RNA is filed under the name uncultured Lachnum. RNAcentral describes it as "partial internal transcribed spacer 2". The record is from RNAcentral. Lineage: Eukaryota; Fungi; Ascomycota; Leotiomycetes; Helotiales; Hyaloscyphaceae.
AUACCAAUCUAGCCUGGCUAGGUGUUGGGCUCCGCCGUCUGGCGGGCCUUAAAACUAGUGGCGGUGCCCUUCGGCUCUACGCGUAGUAAUUUUCUCGCUAUAGGGUCCGGAGGGAUGCUGGCCAGCAACCCCAAAUUUUUCUA